ACACGAGUUUGAUCCUGGCUCAGAACGAACGCUGGCGGCAUGCCUAACACAUGCAAGUCGAACGAGACCUUCGGGUCUAGUGGCGCACGGGUGCGUAACGCGUGGGAACCUGCCUUUAGGUUCGGAAUAACUCAGAGAAAUUUGAGCUAAUACCGGAUAAUGUCUUCGGACCAAAGAUUUAUCGCCUUUAGAUGGGCCCGCGUUGGAUUAGCUAGUUGGUGGGGUAAAGGCCUACCAAGGCGACGAUCCAUAGCUGGUCUGAGAGGAUGAUCAGCCACACUGGGACUGAGACACGGCCCAGACUCCUACGGGAGGCAGCAGUGGGGAAUAUUGGACAAUGGGCGAAAGCCUGAUCCAGCAAUGCCGCGUGAGUGAUGAAGGCCUUAGGGUUGUAAAGCUCUUUUACCCGAGAUGAUAAUGACAGUAUCGGGAGAAUAAGCUCCGGCUAACUCCGUG
This 456-nucleotide ribosomal RNA is filed under the name uncultured bacterium. RNAcentral's name for it is "bacterial SSU rRNA". It matches the Rfam family "Bacterial small subunit ribosomal RNA", at positions 1 to 507 of the family's 1533-position model. The record is from RNAcentral.